This 249-nucleotide ribosomal RNA is filed under the name uncultured archaeon. RNAcentral describes it as "partial 16S ribosomal RNA". It matches the Rfam family "Archaeal small subunit ribosomal RNA", at positions 339 to 590 of the family's 1478-position model. The record is from RNAcentral.
GCGCGAAAACUCCGCAAUGCGGGAAACCGUGACGGGGCCACCCCGAGUGCCGCCCGAAGAGGGCGGCUUUUGCCCGGUGUAAAAAGCCGGGCGAAUAAGCGGGGGGCAAGUCUGGUGUCAGCCGCCGCGGUAAUACCAGCCCCGCGAGUGGUCGGGGUGCUUACUGGGCCUAAAGCGCCCGUAGCCGGCCCGGUAAGUCGCCCCUGAAAUCCACGGGCUCAACCCGUGGGCUGGGGGCGAACCUGCCGG